This 417-nucleotide ribosomal RNA is filed under the name uncultured bacterium. Its description in RNAcentral is "bacterial SSU rRNA". It matches the Rfam family "Bacterial small subunit ribosomal RNA", at positions 28 to 412 of the family's 1533-position model. The record is from RNAcentral.
GACGAACGCUGGCGGCGUGCCUAAUACAUGCAAGUCGAACGCACUCUCGUUUAGAUUGAAGGAGCUUGCUCCUGAUUGAUAAACAUUUGAGUGAGUGGCGGACGGGUGAGUAACACGUGGGUAACCUGCCCUAAAGUGGGGGAUAACAUUUGGAAACAGAUGCUAAUACCGCAUAAAACCUAACACCGCAUGGUGUAGGGUUGAAAGAUGGUUUCGGCUAUCACUUUAGGAUGGACCCGCGGUGCAUUAGUUAGUUGGUGAGGUAAAGGCUCACCAAGACCGUGAUGCAUAGCCGACCUGAGGGGUAAUCGGCCACACUGGGACUGAGACACGGCCCAGACUCCUACGGGAGGCAGCAGUAGGGAAUCUUCCACAAUGGACGAAAGUCUGAUGGAGCAACGCCGCGUGAGUGAAGAA